AGAACCUGGUAGUGGCUCACAAUCAUGCAUAACCCCAGUUCCAAGGAAUCUGAUUCCCUCUUAUGACCAGUGCAGGCCCCAGGCACACUCAUGAUACACAUACAUACAUGUAAGCAAAAUACUCAUACAUCCAAAAUUAAAUAAACAUAUAUCUCUAGACAGAGAGAUGCUUGGAGUGUGUCUCACCAGGAAUCUGCUGCAACUAAGACAAAAGAGGAUGGCUCCCCUUAACGCAUGCUCACUUAACCCUCAUCCUACUUUGACUCCUACAAACCAAUUGCUAUCUUAUAAUACACCCGAGAGCUUAGAAGAGUACUACAGUUGUGACCCACUCACCGUUUUUGAGGUUGUCCCUGUCCUUUCCACUAAGUCAAAACAAGAACUGGAAUGGAUGGAGCCUGUUGUACAUGGUUCCCCAGUUGGAAAUAGCUUUUUGUCCUCUUUUAUAAAGGAGAGAGUCAUGGACAAAAAAAAAAAAAAAAA
Molecule: long non-coding RNA, 483 nt
Filed under: Rattus norvegicus (Norway rat)
Lineage: Eukaryota; Metazoa; Chordata; Mammalia; Rodentia; Muridae
Description: long non-coding RNA NONRATT020732
Source: RNAcentral